This 240-nucleotide unclassified non-coding RNA is filed under the name soil metagenome. RNAcentral describes it as "partial contains 5.8S ribosomal RNA, internal transcribed spacer 2, and large subunit ribosomal RNA". The record is from RNAcentral.
AACCUUAUGGACCUGCGGGCGUAUACCUGCGGAGGGAUCAUUACAGAGUUGCAAAACUCCCUAAACCAUUGUGAACCUACCUUCUACCGUUGCUUCGGCGGGCGGGCCUAGCGCCCCCCCGGCCCCCCGCGGGCGCCCGCCGGAGGAUAACCAAACUCUUGACAUCAGUGGCCUCUCUGAGUAUUCUUUACUGAAUAAGUCAAAACUUUCAACAACGGAUCUCAGAUCGGAAGAGCACAC